Molecule: long non-coding RNA, 1939 nt
Filed under: Triticum aestivum (bread wheat)
Lineage: Eukaryota; Viridiplantae; Streptophyta; Magnoliopsida; Poales; Poaceae
Description: long non-coding RNA (TAES_LNC001724)
Source: RNAcentral
GGUUGUGCAUCUUGCCAUGAUUAUGUGAAGGUUGUUUACCAUGAUUGUUUGUUUCUUUCCGGUGUUGCUUCUUCAGGUUGGUUCCGAUAAUGUCGCAUUUGUGAGGAACCGUUCGACUACGUCUGUUUGUCUUCUUCAUGGACUCGCUCUUCUUCCUUGCGGGAUUUCAGGCAAGAUGACCAUACCCUCGAAAUCACUUCUAUCUUUGCUUGCGUAGAUGCUCGCUCUUUUGCUAUGCCUAUGCUGUGAUACCUACCACUUGCUUAUCAUGCCUCCCAUUUUGUUGAACCAAGCCUCUAACCCACCUUGUCCUAGCAAACCGUUGUUUGGCUAUGUUACCGCUUUGCUCAGCCCCUCUUAUAGCGUUGUUAGUUGCAGGUGAAGAUCGAAGUUUGUUCCUUGUUAGAACAUGGAGAUGUCGUUCCUUGUUGGAACAUUUAUUUACUUGUUGGGAUAUCACAAUAUAUCUUACUUAAUUAAUGCAUCUAUAUACUUGGUAAAGGGUGGAAGGCUCGGCCUUAUGCCUGGUGUUUUGUUCCACUCUUGCCGCCCUAGUUUCCGUCAUAUCGGUGUUAUGUUCCCGGAUUUUGCGUUCCUUACGCGGUUGGGCUAUUAUGGGAACCCCUUGAUAGUUCUCCUUAAGUAAAGCUUUUCCAGCAAUGCCCAACAUUGGUUUUACCGUUUGCCACCUAGCCUUUUCUUGUCCCUUGGGGGUCACGCGCCCAAGGGUCAUCAUUAUUUUAAACCCCCGGGCCAGUGCUCCUCUGAGUGUUGGUCCAACUUGUCAGCCGCCGGUGGCCACCAGGGGCAACUCUGGGCUAGCCUACCGGAAGUUUAGACAAUCCGGUGUGCCCUGAGAAAGAGAUAUGUGCAGCUCCUAUCGGGAUUUGUCGGCACAUUCGGGCGGUGUUGCUGGUUUAGUUUUACCCUAUCGAAAUGUCUUGUUGUACCGGGAUACCGAGUCUGAUCGGAAAGUCUCGGGAGGAGGUCUAUUCCUUUGUUGACCAUGAGAGCUUGUGAUGGGCUAAGUUGGGACACCCCUGCAGGGAUUUGAACUUUCGAAAGCCGUGCCCGCGGUUAUGGGCAGAUGGGAAUUUGUUAACGUCCGGUUGUAGAAAACCUAAACUUAACCUUAAUUAAAAUGAAUCAACAGCGUGUGUAACCGUGAUGGUCUCUUUCCGGCGGAGUCCGGGAAGUGAACACGGUUGUUGGAGUUAUGCUUGACGUAGGUUGCUAUAGGAUCACUUCUUGAUCAUAGACUUCUCGACCGUGCUUUGCCUUCUCUUCUCGCUCUCUUUUGCGUAUGUUAGCCACCAUAUAUGCUAGUCGCUUGCUGCAGCUCCACCUCAUACCUUUACCUUACCUAUAAGCUUAAAUAGUCUUGAUCGCGAGGGUGCGAGAUUGCUGAGUCCCUGUGGCUCACAGAUACUUCCAAAACCAGUUUGCAGGUGCCGAUGAGUCCGUGCAGAUGACGCAACCAAGCUCCGGAGGAGCUCGAUGAAGAUCAUGCUCUUUAUGUUGUUUCGUUCUAGAAGAUCAGUGGUGGAGCCCAGUUGGGGUCGAUUGGGGACCUUUGUCGCAUUUGGGGUUCUUCUUUUAUUUUGGUUCCGUAGUCGGACCUUGAUUGUAUUUGGGGGUUGUAAUGCUUUAUUCAUGUAUUUGUGUGAAGUGGCGAUUGUAAGCCAACUAUGUAUCUUUUUCCCCUAUUGUAUCACAUGGGUUGUGUGAAGAUUACCUCACUUGCGGCAUUGCUUUCAAUGCGGUUAUGCCUCUAAGUCGUGCUUCGACACGUGGGAGAUAUAGCUGCAUCGAGGGCGUUACAAGGGAGGUCAUGACUUUAGUUAAUGUUAAUCCCACUAUUUUGGAAGAGUGUCAACUUUGCAUGCAUGUGGAUCAUGUUGAAAAUAUUUUAUGUGAUAGCUAUUUUGUUGAAUUUUCU